This is a long non-coding RNA of Fukomys damarensis (Damara mole-rat), 2099 nucleotides long. The record is from Ensembl. Lineage: Eukaryota; Metazoa; Chordata; Mammalia; Rodentia; Bathyergidae.
AUGUGUAGGUUUCUAAAGGAAGCAGGAGCUGCACUAGCCGCGGGGCAGGAAAGGCGGAGUCAGCAGCACCCCCGGGAAGCCGGCGCGCCAGGGUUUGCUAGAAGCUGGCCUGGAACCUGGCCUCCUGCCCGCCGGGCCCAGACAGGUGAACAGAAGCUCUUGGGGACCGAGCCCGGGCCUGCGGGCACGAGUGGUUAUAAAAGUGUGUAUAGCAAGCCUUCUGAAGAUUCAACCACUUGUGGAUCAGAUAUAUUUGGAGAAAGAUUGUGUCUUCGCUGAACAUGUAAGACUUUUUCAGUGUCAAUAUUCACCGAACAAUACUGUAUGACAACCAUUUUCACAGAAUUUAUUUUGUAUUUAAUAUUACAAGUUACUUAGAGAUGUUUUAAAGUACAGUAAGACCUUGUUUCUCAAGCAUAGUUCUUUCUGGAAACAUACUUGUAAUCCAAAGCAGAAUUCAGAUGAUUUGUUUCACAACUCCAAAAUAUUCAUUUCAAAUGAUUAUAAUAUUGUAAUACAAAAUGUAAAGAAAAACAAGUAAACGUGUUUACUUUUGAAAACCUUCAUGGUUAGUGUGUGGGCAAUAAGAGGAAGGUUAUUGUGUAGGAUGAUUUUCACCAUCAUGAAUGGGAUCUCUGGCUCAACAAGAUCUUUCCCUUUUCCUGCAACUUUAAUAAGGAACCUGAUGACUCUGGCUUUUGCAUCGUUUCAAGGCUUUUGUAGUUGAGUGGAUUCGUCAUUGUCACUGCUUCAGCCUUAUUCAGGGGGUGCUUUUCGACAAAAUGUUGCACAGUUUCCCACAUUUUACGCCUCUCCCUGAUCUCAUUUGUAGUGAGUGGUUCCUCUGUCUUUUUCUCCUCCUCAUCUGCAGGCAAGAUCUCCUCCAUAACCUCUUGCUGCUGGACAUAAUCACUCACAAUCCUUGGUGUGGUAGGUGGGAGGGGAGGCGAGAAGAGCUAUAAACUCUUUCUGAGGAGCUUCCCCCUUUCUUGACUUUUUGGAUCCUUGUCCUUACCGCCUUCCUGAAUUUCCUGAAAUGUUCUAGCACUUUUCCAAUCAUCCCCUUUCACCUGAGCUAGCCAGUUAUUUUAUGUUCCUUGCAACUGAAUAACAUUGAUUCAUUAACAUAACCAUUAAAGACUACCUACAUAUACAGUGAAUCUAAAUGUGGUUGUCCAACUUUAACUAAAAAUCAUCUGUACGUGUUUGUGAAUAAGAAAGCUAUAAGAAGAAAUGAAAAACCGCCGAGUGAAUCUUUUCCUUCAUGUGUUACCCUCUUCUCUCCCUUUCAUUAAUUCUUUGGUAGACAAAACUCGGUAUGAAUGGAAUAAUUAUAUUCAUUUUUCUAAAGUUAAAAUUUGAACCUACAGAGAAUGGCGUGUGGAGGGAUGAAAAUAAAUCAUAUGGAACGAUCAGCUCUUGACAGGUGGUUUAGGAUGGCAGGUCCAGUGAGCGAACCAAAUUAGGAAGUGAUCAGGCAGAGCUGCAGCACCAGCCAGCAGGCCAAACCAUGCACGGAGAGAAGCUGGAGGGGGCCCUCCAAGUGCUAGCUUCCUUGUAGGAGUCCUAUGUUAUCAAUCUCAUUGCCACUGCGAGACAAAUGUAGAUGUUCUGGUGGCAAUGGAUAAAGGUGAUAAAGAAACACAUUACAUAGAUUAAUUCACAUAUUGGAGUCUUUGGUUUUUAUUAUUUAGUAUGAUCACCUCAUCCUCUUUUUCUUCAUUCACUGGCCUUUCCAGCUUUCUCCCUAUUGCAGUCUAAUAUCCUUUAUUACACGCAAACGCGAUGGUUCUCAAACGUUAGUAUUACUAACAAUACUAAAGAGUGCUUGUUAAAAUACGUAUCCCUGGGUCUCCCACUCAAAGGUUCUUGUUUAUUGUUUUUAAAGGAGGGCCCUGGUUUUGAUUAGAACCAGGAGUUUCAGAUGCAUUUAGUUAUUGGUUGCAUGGCCAUAUAAAUUAUUUUCAAAGUGAAGAACAUUAAGGAGAGUGAAGUGGAUUGACACUAACAAUGAUUCUGGGAUAAUAGGUGCAAAUCAGCUCUGUCUUAGGCAAACCCUGACAUUAAAGUCACCUCCAGUCACUGAUCUCUGAGCAGCA